UGGUGCCAGUGUUGGUUCUAAGCUUAGUGUUGGGCAGGAUGGGAAUUUGAAGGGGCCCCUGGGACAUGGAACAGCAGACUGGUUCCAAAUAGGCAAAGGAGUACGUCAUGGCUGUGUACUGUCACGCUGCUCAUUUAACUUACAUGCAGAGUACAUCAUGAGAAACUCUGGGCUGGAUGAAGCACAAGCUGGAAUCAAGAUUGCCAGGAGAAAUAUCAAUAACCUCAGAUAUACAGGUGACACCACGAAGAAGAACUUAAGAAGGCUCUUCAGUACCUCUUCACUUUCUGCCAUAAGGGUGGUGUCAUCUGCAUAUCUGAGGUUAUUCAUAUUUCUCCUGGCAAUCUUGUUUCCAGCUUGUGCUUCCUCCAGCCCAGCCCAACGUUUCUCAUGAUGUACUCUGCAUAGAAGUUAAAUAAGCAGGUUGACAAUAUGCAGCCUUGACGUACUCCUUCUCCUAUUUGGAACCAGUCUGUCGUUCCAUGUCCAGUUCUAACUGUUGCUUCCUGACUUGCAUACAGAUUUCUCAAGAAGCAGGUCAGGUGGUCUGGUAUUCCCAUCUCUUUCAGAAUUUUCCACAAUUUAUUGUGAUCCACACAGUCAAAGGCUUUGGCAUAGUCAAUAAAACAGAAAUAGAUGUUUUUCUGGAACUCUAUUGCUUUUUUGAUGAUCCAGCGCAUGUUGGCAAUUUGAUCUCUGGUUCCUCUGCCUUUUCUAAAACCACCUUGAACAUCUGGAAACUCACGGUUCACGUAUUGCUGAAGCCUGGCUUGGAGAAUUUUGAGCAUUACUUUACUAGCGUGUACCUUACUACCCAGCAAUCCACUCCUAGAUGUUUACACAGAGUCCCUGAAUGUAAAUGUUAAUUACAGCUUUAUUCAGAGUAGCCCAGAGGUGGAAACAAAUGUCCCUCAACAG
Bos taurus (domestic cattle) is the source of this 918-nucleotide long non-coding RNA. NCBI's taxonomy places the organism in Eukaryota, Metazoa, Chordata, Mammalia, Artiodactyla, Bovidae. The record is from Ensembl.